UACGAAGGGGGCAAGCGUUGUUCGGAAUUACUGGGCGUAAAGGGCGCGUAGGCGGCUUAUCAAGUCAGGCGUGAAAUCCCCGGGCUUAACCUGGGAACUGCGCUUGUAACUGGCAAGCUAGAGUGUGGCAGAGGGGGGUGGAAUUCCAGGUGUAGCAGUGAAAUGCGUAGAGAUCUGGAGGAACACCGAUGGCGAAGGCAGCCCCCUGGGCUAACACUGACGCUCAUGCACGAAAGCGUGGGGAGCAAACAGG
RNAcentral lists this ribosomal RNA (253 nucleotides) under uncultured bacterium. Its description in RNAcentral is "partial 16S ribosomal RNA". It matches the Rfam family "Bacterial small subunit ribosomal RNA", at positions 524 to 776 of the family's 1533-position model. The record is from RNAcentral.